ACGGAAUAAGCCUCUGGGUCAACCUCCCACCCGUGUUUAUUUUACCUUGUUGCUUCGGCGGGCCCGCCUUAACUGGCCGCCGGGGGGCUUACGCCCCCGGGCCCGCGCCCGCCGAAGACACCCUCGAACUCUGUCUGAAGAUUGUAGUCUGAGUGAAAAUAUAAAUUAUUUAAAACUUUCAACAACGGAUCUCUUGGUUCCGGCAUCGAUGAAGAACGCAGCGAAAUGCGAUACGUAAUGUGAAUUGCAAAUUCAGUGAAUCAUCGAGUCUUUGAACGCACAUUGCGCCCCCUGGUAUUCCGGGGGGCAUGCCUGUCCGAGCGUCAUUUCUGCCCUCAAGCACGGCUUGUGUGUUGGGCCCCGUCCUCCGAUCCCGGGGGACGGGCCCGAAAGGCAGCGGCGGCACCGCGUCCGGUCCUCGAGCGUAUGGGGCUUUGUCACCCGCUCUGUAGGCCCGGCCGGCGCUUGCCGAUCAACCCAAAUUUUUAUCCAGGUUGACCUCGGAUCAGGUAGGGAUACCCGCUGAACUUAAGCAUAUCAAUAAGCGGAGGAA
This 553-nucleotide ribosomal RNA is filed under the name Penicillium chrysogenum. Its description in RNAcentral is "eukaryotic LSU rRNA". The stretch from base 174 to 326 matches the Rfam family "5.8S ribosomal RNA". Lineage: Eukaryota; Fungi; Ascomycota; Eurotiomycetes; Eurotiales; Aspergillaceae. The record is from RNAcentral.